Molecule: ribosomal RNA, 477 nt
Filed under: uncultured bacterium
Lineage: Bacteria
Description: partial 16S ribosomal RNA
Rfam family: Bacterial small subunit ribosomal RNA
Source: RNAcentral
GACGAACGCUGGCGGCGUGCUUAACACAUGCAAGUCGAACGGAGAAGCGCUUUCCUUUUUGGUUGGUGUGGAUGAGUGGCGAAGGGGUGAAUAACACGUGACUAACCUGCCCCCUUCUUUAGGAUAACCGCAUGAAAGCGUGGCUAAUAUAGGAUAUUCUGGGUCUUUCUCAUGAUUGGUCUGGUACAGAUGUUGCGUCGGUGGGGGAUGGGCUCGCGGUGUAUGAGCUUGUUGGGGCGGUGAUGGCCUACGACGGCGAGGAGGGGUGGCCGGCCUGAGAGGGUGUGCGGCCACAUUGGGACUGAGAGACGGGCCAGAAGCCUAGGUGAGGCAGCAGUGGGGACUAUGCCACUAUGGGGCGAAGGCGGAUGCGGUGACGCCGUGCGGGUGAUGAAGCCCUUUCGGGUGUAAACCGUGUUUGCCUGGUAUGUGGCUUGAUUGACGGUAACUGGUUAAGAAGCACCGGCUAACUACGUG